CAAACUGCCGGUCUACUCCGAUAAUGCUCUAUAACUGCUUACCUUGGUUACUGACUGUCCCUAGAGCAAGUGGUAAAGGGCUUAGUGGUUGAUACCCGAGUUACCAAGUUCGAAUCCUAGUUGAUUCACAUUUACAGCUAAGUUAUUUCUACAUAAAAUAAACGAAGCUUGACGGUUUACAAGUUAAUUUAAAUAUUUAAGAAUAUGAAUUUGAAAGUUUAAAAGCUUAAGAAUGAGAAUAAGAGGUUA
RNAcentral lists this long non-coding RNA (249 nucleotides) under Ananas comosus (pineapple). Its description in RNAcentral is "long non-coding RNA (ACOM_LNC006086)". Lineage: Eukaryota; Viridiplantae; Streptophyta; Magnoliopsida; Poales; Bromeliaceae. The record is from RNAcentral.